CGACGCCUCCGAAACCACCGGCGACGAACUCUCUUCCCCAGCUGGUCGCCAUAAACUCCGGCCAAAAAUCCAUCUCUCAAGGUCGUCCAAGGACGUAUAAACUGAGAGAGAGGAAUGAUCAUCACCAAAUCAAAUGGGGGAGGAGGCUUUUGGGGAUCACCAUUAUUCAUUAAUAGGAGUACUAACUUAGAAGGAAGAAGCAAAAAGACACAAAUACUAUCGUGGGGAAAGCUAGAGAUUGAGAUUGCACCGUCCUUGUCACACCAUCUCCCCCAACCCACUCUCGCCACCUACAUACAUACACAUCUCCUCCCAGUAUACAACUCUUUCUUUUCCUCUGUUUUUCCUUCACAACCAUGAUGAUGAUGAUCACACAUUAGCCUUAUUAUAUUUAAUACUAUCAUUUAGCAAUUGAUA
This is a long non-coding RNA of Capsella rubella, 417 nucleotides long. RefSeq lists it as uncharacterized. The record is from RefSeq and is a predicted model, not a curated record. The transcript has 2 exons. NCBI's taxonomy places the organism in Eukaryota, Viridiplantae, Streptophyta, Magnoliopsida, Brassicales, Brassicaceae.